AUAAUUUAUAAAUAUUCAAUAAUAAAUGUUUUAUAGUAUAAAAUAUGAUUAUUUUAAUUAUCAUUCUUCAAAGGUAUUUUCAAUGCAAUCACGGUCCAUUCUCCACAAUCAACAAGGAAAGAUGUUUAAAAUAGGUAGGAGUCGAGCUUGCAUAUAUUUAGAAUAAUAACAUUGUAAUAGGCCAAUUUUGGCCUGGCUAAAAAUCAAAUAAAAUUAACAACCCAAUUGACCCAAUGCAAUACCCAAUAACCAAAUCAACCCAAAACUAAAAACAAAAAGCCCUAGAACCUUCAACCGCUGCUCUCCCACAUACGCGCCUCCAGCCCCCUCCAUGUCACCCCACGAACGGCUUCUUCGGUAUCACGGUUUUACCUGCAAAAUAGGGCCAUAAACAGCAAGAAAGAAGCACACUAUAGAGGAGAGAAUAACAGAAAAGAAAUUGAAUAACGGGGGGGGGGGGCAGAGAAAAAAGAGAGGGUUUUUAUUUGUUUUAUUUGUUUUUUCUUUUGGGUGGAUUCGGCGAUAUAUAAGGCCGAUUCUGAAUCUGUAUGGGGUUUUUUUUUUUGGAGGCAGAUUGAAACAAAAAAGAGAGAAAGAAGUCAGUGUAAAACGAAGUAUAAAAAGGGAAAAUAAAAAUACAGCAGUUUGAUUUGGAAGGUGAUUUUCUUCAUUUUUUUUAUUGCUUUCUCUGUUAUUUUUUCGUUUUUUUUUUUGGGUGUGCAAAACAGAAAUAAGGAGGAGAAGAGAAGGUACUUACCAGUGGUGGCGCGCCGUCGAUGCCCUUGCUGCGCUGCGUCCGAAUCGGAGUUGAAAAGGGGAGGAUUUUGGUGAGGAGCAGAAGAGAAGAAAGCAGUCCUUGCGGCUGCUGUUGCUGAAAAUGGAAUAGGGAUUUUAAUUAGGAUUUGAAAUGGGUUUUAAGCAUUGAUGGGUUAUUUGCGUUUUAAUCCUUUCAUGUUUUCCAUCAUUUCAAAACUAUUUUUUCUUUUGUUUUCAAAUUUUUCCAUGACAUAUUAAAUCUGCUUUAUUUUAACCCAAUGUUGUACAGUGUUUAAAAAGGGUGGGAUUAGUUUCCCUUUUAGCCCUUCAUGUUACGUGCAUUUUGCAAAUUUGUCCUUUGUUUUAUUUUGUUUUCGUUUUUUUUUUCAAUUUUGUUUUGAUUUUAACUUUAUCCUUUGUAUUUGUCUUACUAAUUAAGUUUAAUAUUUGUUUGUUAUUAUAAUAAUAAUUAUUAUUAUUACUGUUAUUAUU
RNAcentral lists this long non-coding RNA (1248 nucleotides) under Gossypium barbadense (sea-island cotton). RNAcentral's name for it is "long non-coding RNA (GBAR_LNC013886)". Lineage: Eukaryota; Viridiplantae; Streptophyta; Magnoliopsida; Malvales; Malvaceae. The record is from RNAcentral.